GACGAACGCUGGCGGCGUGCUUAACACAUGCAAGUCGAACGGUGAAGCGCCUUCCUUUUUGGUGGGUGUGGAUGAGUGGCGAACGGGUGAGUAACACGUGAGUAACCUGCCCCCUUCUUCUGGAUAACCGCAUGAAAGUGUGGCUAAUACGGGAUAUUCUGGGUCUGUCGCAUGAUGGGUCUGGGAAAGAUAUUGUUUCGGUGGGGAUGGGCUCGCGGCCUAUCAGCUUGUUGGUGGGGUGAUGGCCUACCAAGGCGGUGACGGGUAGCCGGCCUGAGAGGGUGGACGGUCACACUGGGACUGAGACACGGCCCAGACUCCUACGGGAGGCAGCAGUGGGGAAUAUUGCACAAUGGGCGCAAGCCUGAUGCAGCGACGCCGCGUGAGGGAUGGAGGCCUUCGGGUUGUGAACCUCUUUCGCCAGUGAAGCAGGCCUGCCUCGUUUGUGGGUGGGUUGACGGUAGCUGGAUAAGAAGCGCCGGCUAACUACGUG
RNAcentral lists this ribosomal RNA (493 nucleotides) under uncultured bacterium. RNAcentral's name for it is "partial 16S ribosomal RNA". It matches the Rfam family "Bacterial small subunit ribosomal RNA", at positions 28 to 507 of the family's 1533-position model. The record is from RNAcentral.